RNAcentral lists this ribosomal RNA (485 nucleotides) under uncultured bacterium. RNAcentral describes it as "partial 16S ribosomal RNA". It matches the Rfam family "Bacterial small subunit ribosomal RNA", at positions 355 to 831 of the family's 1533-position model. The record is from RNAcentral.
UGGGGAAUCUUCCGCAAUGGACGAAAGUCUGACGGAGCAACGCCGCGUGUAUGAUGAAGGUCUUCGGAUUGUAAAGUAUUGUCAUUGGGGAAGAACGGUUUUCUUGAGAAUAUUGAGAAGACAUGACGGUACCCAAGGAGGAAGCCCCGGCUAACUACGUGCCAGCAGCCGCGGUAAUACGUAGGGGGCAAGCGUUGUCCGGAAUUAUUGGGCGUAAAGGGCNCGUAGGCGGGCCUUUAAGUCCGGUGUGAAAGAUCAGGGCUCAACCCUGAGAGUGCAUCGGAAACUGGAGGCCUUGAGGACAGGAGAGGAAAGUGGAAUUCCACGUGUAGCGGUGAAAUGCGUAGAUAUGUGGAGGAACACCAGUGGCGAAGGCGACUUUCUGGACUGUAACUGACGCUGAGGCGCGAAAGCGUGGGGAGCAAACAGGAUUAGAUACCCUGGUAGUCCACGCCCUAAACGAUGUCAACUAGUUGUUGGGGAUU